AUUGAACGCUGGCGGCAUGCUUUACACAUGCAAGUCGAACGGUAACAGGCCGCAAGGUGCUGACGAGUGGCGAACGGGUGAGUAAUGCAUCGGAACGUGCCCAGUCGUGGGGGAUAACGCAGCGAAAGCUGUGCUAAUACCGCAUACGAUCUAUGGAUGAAAGCGGGGGACCGUAAGGCCUCGCGCGAUUGGAGCGGCCGAAGUCCGAUUAGGUAGUUGGUGGGGUAAAGGCUCACCAAGCCAACGAUCUGUAGCUGGUCUGAGAGGACGACCAGCCACACUGGGACUGAGACACGGCCCAGACUCCUACGGGAGGCAGCAGUGGGGAAUUUUGGACAAUGGGCGCAAGCCUGAUCCAGCAAUGCCGCGUGCAGGAAGAAGGCCUUCGGGUUGUAAACUGCUUUUGUACGGAACGAAAAGGUUUGGGUUAAUACCCUGGGCCGAUGACGGUACCGUAAGAAUAAGCACCGGCUAACUACGUGCCAGCAGCCGCAGUAA
Molecule: ribosomal RNA, 498 nt
Filed under: uncultured bacterium
Lineage: Bacteria
Description: partial 16S ribosomal RNA
Rfam family: Bacterial small subunit ribosomal RNA
Source: RNAcentral